GGAGAUAUACCUCACUAGGUUGAGUGCUUGCCUCUCAUGCACAAGGCCCUGGGUUCAAUCCCCAGCACCACCA
Molecule: transfer RNA, 73 nt
Filed under: Urocitellus parryii (Arctic ground squirrel)
Lineage: Eukaryota; Metazoa; Chordata; Mammalia; Rodentia; Sciuridae
Also listed under: 1 other name
Description: Spermophilus parryii (Arctic ground squirrel) tRNA
Rfam family: tRNA
About the family: Transfer RNA (tRNA) molecules are approximately 80 nucleotides in length.
Source: Rfam by way of RNAcentral